AUAUAAAAGUAUAAUAUUAUUGAUAAGGCUAGUGACUGAAAUAAGAAAGUAAUAAUAAAAUUCUAAUCUUCCGUGAAGGGCUACGAUGAGAGGGUAAUGUGUGGUUGAGGUUUGUUUCAGGUUGUUUGAAGUAUGGGAUGACGGUUAAUCAUCACCAACUUUUACCUACUUCUUCCUUCAUGUGGAAGUCCAAGUUCUACCAAACCUUCUACUCAUUUAUUUGGGAACAUUUUGUGUUGGUUCAAGACAAUGAAGAUGGGCGAUAAGAAAAGUGUUUGGCAUGUUGUGUGAUAUUUAAUUUUCAUCCAAAAUGGAUUGGAUAAGAUGUCUUAUGGAACCCUUUUAAGAGAUUUCUUGAGCAUCAUCUCGAUCAAGAGAGGAAGAUCUGUAAGCUUAUGUUUUAAAUUUGGUGACGUGUUUUGUUGGUGGAUUUAAAUCAUAUUUAUGAUUGCUAAUAUUUGUUAUUUGAAAUUGAAUUUGAAGACAUUUGUGUGGUUUAAGUGUUGACGUUGUUGCAACCUUAUGAAAUGGUGACUGCUGAUUCAGCAGUUAAGACUUAGUUA
Solanum dulcamara is the source of this 563-nucleotide long non-coding RNA. RefSeq lists it as uncharacterized. NCBI's taxonomy places the organism in Eukaryota, Viridiplantae, Streptophyta, Magnoliopsida, Solanales, Solanaceae. The record is from RefSeq and is a predicted model, not a curated record. The transcript has 3 exons.